CGGAGGAAAGAAACCAACAGGGAUUGCCCUAGUAACGGCGAGUGAAGCGGCAACAGCUCAAAUUUGAAAUCUGGCCCUUGGGUCCGAAUUGUAAUUUGUAGAGGAUGAUUUUGGUGCGGUACCUUCCGAGUUCCUUGGAACAGGACGCCUUAGAGGGUGAGAGCCCCGUACGGUUGGAUACCUAGCCUCUGUAAAUCUCCUUCGACGAGUCGAGUAGUUUGGGAAUGCUGCUCUAAAUGGGAGGUAAAUUUCUUCUAAAGCUAAAUACUGGCCAGAGACCGAUAGCGCACAAGUAGAGUGAUCGAAAGAUGAAAAGCACUUUGAAAAGAGGGUUAAAUAGCACGUGAAAUUGUUGAAAGGGAAGGAUUUAUGACCAGACUUUUUCUGGGCAGAUCAUCCGGUGUUCUCACCGGUGCACUUUGCCCAGUUUAGGCCAGCAUCGAUUUCCGGAGGGGGAUAAAAGCUUUAGGAAUGUGGCUCCCUCGGGAGUGUUAUAGCCUAUUGUAUAAUACCUUUCUGGGGAUCGAGGUACGCGCUUCUGCAAGGAUGCUGGCGUAAUGGUUAUCAAUCACCCGUCUUGAAACACGGACCAAGGAGUCGAACAUUUGUGCGAGUGUUUGGGUGUUAAACCCUCACGCGUAAUGAAAGUGAACGGAGGUAAGAGCCCUUACGGGUGCAUUAUCGACCGAUCCUGAAGUUUUCGGAUGGAUUUGAGUAGGAGCAUAAAUGUUCGGACCCGAAAGAUGGUGAACUAUGCGUGGAUAGGGUGAAGCCAGAGGAAACUCUGGUGGAGGCUCGCAGCGGUUCUGACGUGCAAAUCGAUCGUCAAAUCUGCGCAUGGGGGCGAAAGACUAAUCGAACCAUCUA
Molecule: ribosomal RNA, 867 nt
Filed under: Monochaetia ilexae
Lineage: Eukaryota; Fungi; Ascomycota; Sordariomycetes; Amphisphaeriales; Sporocadaceae
Also listed under: 1 other name
Description: partial large subunit ribosomal RNA
Rfam family: Eukaryotic large subunit ribosomal RNA
Source: RNAcentral